GAGUAGGGCGGGACACGUGGUAUCCUGUCUGAAUAUGGGGGGACCAUCCUCCAAGGCUAAAUACUCCUGACUGACCGAUAGUGAACCAGUACCGUGAGGGAAAGGCGAAAAGAACCCCGGCGAGGGGAGUGAAAAAGAACCUGAAACCGUGUACGUACAAGCAGUGGGAGCCUCUUAAUGGGGUGACUGCGUACCUUUUGUAUAAUGGGUCAGCGACUUAUAUUCUGUAGCAAGGUUAACCGAAUAGGGGAGCCGAAGGGAAACCGAGUCUUAACUGGGCGUUAAGUUGCAGGGUAUAGACCCGAAACCCGGUGAUCUAGCCAUGGGCAGGUUGAAGGUUGGGUAACACUAACUGGAGGACCGAACCGACUAAUGUUGAAAAAUUAGCGGAUGACUUGUGGCUGGGGGUGAAAGGCCAAUCAAACCGGGAGAUAGCUGGUUCUCCCCGAAAGCUAUUUAGGUAGCGCCUCGUGAAUUCAUCUCCGGGGGUAGAGCACUGUUUCGGCAAGGGGGUCAUCCCGACUUACCAACCCGAUGCAAACUGCGAAUACCGGAGAAUGUUAUCACGGGAGACACACGGCGGGUGCUAACGUCCGUCGUGAAGAGGGAAACAACCCAGACCGCCAGCUAAGGUCCCAAAGUCAUGGUUAAGUGGGAAACGAUGUGGGAAGGCCCAGACAGCCAGGAUGUUGGCUUAGAAGCAGCCAUCAUUUAAAGAAAGCGUAAUAGCUCACUGGUCGAGUCGGCCUGCGCGGAAGAUGUAACGGGGCUAAACCAUGCACCGAAGCUGCGGCAGCGACACUAUGUGUUGUUGGGUAGGGGAGCGUUCUGUAAGCCUGUGAAGGUGGCCUGUGAGGGUUGCUGGAGGUAUCAGAAGUGCGAAUGCUGACAUAAGUAACGAUAAAGCGGGUGAAAAGCCCGCUCGCCGGAAGACCAAGGGUUCCUGUCCAACGUUAAUCGGGGCAGGGUGAGUCGACCCCUAAGGCGAGGCCGAAAGGCGUAGUCGAUGGGAAACAGGUUAAUAUUCCUGUACUUGGUGUUACUGCGAAGGGGGGACGGAGAAGGCUAUGUUGGCCGGGCGACGGUUGUCCCGGUUUAAGCGUGUAGGCUGGUUUUCCAGGCAAAUCCGGAAAAUCAAGGCUGAGGCGUGAUGACGAGGCACUACGGUGCUGAAGCGACAAAUGCCCUGCUUCCAGGAAAAGCCUCUAAGCAUCAGGUAACAUCAAAUCGUACCCCAAACCGACACAGGUGGUCAGGUAGAGAAUACCAAGGCGCUUGAGAGAACUCGGGUGAAGGAACUAGGCAAAAUGGUGCCGUAACUUCGGGAGAAGGCACGCUGAUAUGUAGGUGAAGCGACUUGCUCGUGGAGCUGAAAUCAGUCGAAGAUACCAGCUGGCUGCAACUGUUUAUUAAAAACACAGCACUGUGCAAACACGAAAGUGGACGUAUACGGUGUGACGCCUGCCCGGUGCCGGAAGGUUAAUUGAUGGGGUUAGCGGUAACGCGAAGCUCUUGAUCGAAGCCCCGGUAAACGGCGGCCGUAACUAUAACGGUCCUAAGGUAGCGAAAUUCCUUGUCGGGUAAGUUCCGACCUGCACGAAUGGCGUAAUGAUGGCCAGGCUGUCUCCACCCGAGACUCAGUGAAAUUGAACUCGCUGUGAAGAUGCAGUGUACCCGCGGCAAGACGGAAAGACCCCGUGAACCUUUACUAUAGCUUGACACUGAACA
Molecule: ribosomal RNA, 1728 nt
Filed under: Escherichia coli
Lineage: Bacteria; Pseudomonadati; Pseudomonadota; Gammaproteobacteria; Enterobacterales; Enterobacteriaceae
Description: bacterial LSU rRNA
Rfam family: Bacterial large subunit ribosomal RNA
Source: RNAcentral